RNAcentral lists this ribosomal RNA (254 nucleotides) under uncultured bacterium. RNAcentral describes it as "partial 16S ribosomal RNA". It matches the Rfam family "Bacterial small subunit ribosomal RNA", at positions 524 to 776 of the family's 1533-position model. The record is from RNAcentral.
CACGUAGGGGGCGAGCGUUGUCCGGAUUUAUUGGGCGUAAAGAGCUCGUAGGCGGUUCGGCAAGUCGGGUGUGAAAUUUCGAGGCUCAACCUCGAAACGCCACUCGAUACUGCUGUGACUGGAGUCCGGUAGAGGAGUGCGGAAUUCCUGGUGUAGCGGUGAAAUGCGCAGAUAUCAGGAGGAACACCUGUGGUGUAGACAGCUUACUGGACCACUUCUGACGCUGAGACACGAAAGCGUGGGUAGCAAACAGG